ACGUUCAAUCCGCCAAGAGACAUCAUGUUCCUGCCUUGCUGUCAUUGAUCUAGACUUCUUGAGUUACUUUGCCUUUCCUUAUUCCUUACCGCUAUCGUUUCUAUCGCUACCGUUCUUUUCUGAACCCCUCUAUCGUUUGCACUAUCGUUUGGUGUCUUUUUUUCCUUUCGUGGUCACCUUUCCUCUUACCUUUUUCCUUCUUUUGCUAUCGCUAAGUUUACUUUAAAAUAGAAUUAGUGUUUGUGUGCCCGAGUCACCGGCUAAGGGGCUAAGAUUCAAGUGUGCUGACCUUGAAGUAGAACACGAGAAGACGAUGUUUUUGGGCUGCCAGAAAGAAGAUCUCGUCCUGGUUUUAUUCGUGGCAAUUUUCUUUGCUUCGAGCUGUGCUUUGACGGGGAAAAAUAAUCGUCCUGAAGUGACAAUCUCCCAGGGAAUCCUGCGAGGAAAAACACUCACUACUCGCUAUGGUCGAAAUGUAUCAGCGUUUCUCGGAAUUCCUUAUGGGCGACCGCCGAAAGGGGAUCUUAGAUUUACAGCUCCUGUUGCAGCAGAGAGUUGGAACGGAACUCGAGACGCUAGUAUUGAUGGAAAUAUUUGCCCACAAGCCCAAUAUGAUGAAAUUGUAGGAGAUGAGGACUGCCUGUAUAUAAACGUGUAUACUCCACACGAAAUACUUUCAUCGUGUGAUCCACACAUUAAGGUUCACGAAUGCCCGAAGUCGACACUUUUUCCGGUUAUGGUGUUCUUCUAUGGUGGAGGCUACGUCUCAGGAAGCUUUCUUCCCACGUCGUAUGGUCCAGAGUACAUUCUUGACAAGGAUGUGGUUCUUGUCGUAUUCAAUUAUCGCCUAGGACCAUUGGGAUUUUUGAGCACUGGCGACGAGGUGGCGUCUGGAAAUUGGGGACUAAAAGACCAAAUCUUAGCCUUAAAGUGGGUUCAGGACAAUAUCGCACAUUUUGGUGGUGAUCCUGAUCAAGUGACUUUGUUCGGACAAAGUGCAGGCGGUGCUUCUAUUCACCUCUUGUCGCUGACAAAUGUCACGAUUGGACUCUUUCAUCGAUACAUAACGCAAAGUGGACCGGCACUUUCUUCAUUGGCUUACUUGCCCAGAGCUACUUGUGCGAGGCAUGCAUUCAAACUUGGGGAAUAUGUCGGCUGUUACAACGGAACUUCAGAUUCUUUGAUCAACUGUUUACGGACAGUAAAUAUCUCGGAUAUUAUAGCCGCAUAUCCGAAGUUUCACGUAUGGGAAUCAUAUCCUUUUUCCGUAUGGACUCCAACCGAUGAGCUGGAUAUGGAAGGCGCUGUGCUUACUGCCAGUCCAGCUAAUUUGAUAAGUGCUGGUCACAUCCGUGAUUUACCUUGGAUUUCUGGUGUGACACGGAAUGACGGGCUACUAGAAACUGCAAAGUUUUAUGUCGACGACGUACUGCUGAGUGAUUUUCUGGAAAAUUUUGACACUCUACUGCCUGUUUUCCUAAUGUCGUCUUAUGCUCCAGAUGUUGUUGCUGAUUUUAUCGAAGCUGUCAAAUUGUACUACUUCAACGACAAUUUGACAAUCAGUAAUAACGUGCUACUUGAGAAUCUUACCAGACUCGUGAGUGACGAUUUUUUUUACUACCCGGUUUACGAAGCAUUCCAGAAACAGCUUGAACUAGCUGUGAAUCCACAAUAUCUGUACAUUUUCAACUAUCGCGGUACUUUCAGUAACUCUUACUUAGAAACGGAUUCUACAGCUAACUAUGGCACGGCACACUCCGAUGAUUUGAUAUAUCUUUUUCCAUCGGAAGCAAAAUUCUCGGGUAUUAAUAAAACCAUGAGCAUAAUGGAUUAUCAAAUGGUGGACAUUAUGGUGGAGUUGUGGACGUCUUUUGCUAUUAAUGGAACACCUUCGGUUUCAACUUCCGACCGUACUACAAUAUGGAUGCCGUAUUUGAAGGAGCACAAUUACCUACGGAUCGGAAAUGUAUCCAGUGUCGAACUCAAUCUGGAACAUUCCUUCUUCAAAGAACGAGUGCAGUUCUGGGACAGUUUGAAGACCACGUUAAAGUGUGGCAGUCGCAGAAAUCUACGUAAAAGAAAAAAUAGACCACUUGAUAUCAGGUUUAGAAAAAGGAGGAAGUAUAGUAUACCUGUAUGCUGAAAGUAUGUAUGGUAUAAACCGAGUAUAACUGUCCGAAUUAUAAUUUCAACAUUGAGUAUUUUUAUGUUUAACAAUGUUGUCUGAAAUAAUUGUUCAUUAAACUUAAGUAUGGCCGAGCAUUUUUUAAGUAGAUUCAAUUUCAUUAGCUACGAUUAAACUUUUUCUACCUCAUGUGUUUGUUUUGACACAAUUUUGAAUCGAUCUGUCGGUCCUUAAAAUGCUAUAUUGCCAAAUUUCUACGCUGACGCGCACGCAAUUUCACGAUAUUCUCACUUCUGCCCAUCUCGCAUUAGAGAUUUGCAAAUCCAGUGACAGCCGACAGAUGGAAAGGAAUUCCCAAUGCAAGUGACGAUGCAAGUGGCUGCCUUCGGGCAUCAGGUGAUCUAAUCGUGGGAGAUGAGGACUGCCUGUAUUUGAAUGUGUGCACGCCGCAGGUUAUUGAUGAACUGCGAGAAAUAAUGUCAACUUUGUUUUUUCAAAAAAUGAGACUUUCAGAUCCGAACUUUUGCAGGAAAUCUGCAGGGGAAAAAAUUUCUGUAUGACUUAUUAUUUCCGACAAAAUGUUGGACCGGCUCACUUCGUUGAUAAAGUUAUUUCACAGUGAGGAGUUAGCCACUUAUCAGUUCGUGUGUACAUUCGAUUUCAAAAUCUCACGAGAUUUAAAAGGAUUUCAGAGAUUUCAAAGAUUUCAUAAGAUGAAUGGUGUACAUCAGAUUUCAAGGUUGGUGAAUCCACCUGUGGUGAUUGGGGAUGUUAAAGAUUAUGGUACUUAACCACAACAGCAAAAAUUUGCGAAUUCUAAAUUGUAGGCAGCAGGAAUUUUCACAAUUGAAACAGCGUCAAUGAAAAUUUCUUUGACAACGUACUUCAGCUUCCAAAUGGAAAAAGAUCACCACUACUUCUGGUUAUAAUGUUCACUCACGGCGGAAGAUUCGUUGAAAGAAGUGCUUCUUCAAUGCGAUGCGGCCCAAAAUAUGUGCUUGACGAAGACGUGCUCCUUGUUACUUUCAACAACCGCUGAGGCCAUUCGGGUUUUUGAGCACUGGUGACGAAGUGGCGUCUGGAAACUGGGUCCUCAAGGUCAGUCUUUAAAUGGGUUCAGGAUUACAUCGAAUAUUUUGGUCGUGAUCUUGAUCAGGUGACGCUUUUGAGACAGCUCAGGUGGCGUUUGCGUUCACUUCCCGACGCUCCUCAAUGCCACAGUCGGUAAGAAUUAACGGCUCCUUUUUAAUAAAUUCUUAAAGCCAAUUAAUUUUCAGCCAUAGCAUUGAAUUCCUUAGAGGUUCUUUUUGACAGAAAAUGUAAUCUUGUAAAUUUAUCUAGUGAGCUCUGCAAGGCCAGUCAUUUUUUGUCGUUGACUCAAUGGAGCUUUUCCAAUACUUUUUUCAGCUUGUAGCUUAUACAACAGGUUGUGAAGUAUACCUGUAGUAUUCUGUUCAAGGUUAAACGACGAUUAGAUGAAAAUUCGUCGAAAACUUUAUAGAAGUUAGAAAUUGUUUCACUCAUGAGAGAAACAAUGCGUAAAAUGAGGUUAGCUUGCUCGGACAGUAGUCCGAGAUAUUUACUUUUUCAAGCAGCAAGCUUUUUCUUUCAUAUUUCCUGACUUAGCGUUUUAUGAGAAUUCUACAAAGUUCGAGAACUUUCUGAAAAACUUCGAUGUCACACUCACAGUUUUAUUGAGUUUGAUUUACCAACCGGCUCCUCUCAAACCUGACACUCCUCAUCGGUGACACUUACUUCGUAUAUCCUAUCUUCAACGCAGUUCGAAAGCAGCUCGCUCUGGCGGAGAAUCGGCAGUUUUUUAAUGAAUGAAAACUAUACGUUUACGGUGGUUCAACAGCCAAUUACGGUGUGGCGUAUGGUGACGACCUGAUUAACCUCUUCCCAAGAAAUCAGUUUUUCAAAAAUCUGUAGAACCAAACCAUGUGUGAUAUUUCCAAAUGGAUGACAUCAUGGUGCUUCUAAAAUAACUCCUAUAUCUUCAACUUUCAACGGCAUCACGAUGUGGGAGUUCAACUCAACGGAAGGCGAUUACUUACAGAUAGGAAAACAUUUCAACCUUACACUUAAGCAGCGAUAUUACUUCUUCAAAGAGCGAAUACAAUUUUGGGAUGGUUUGGUUGGACAACAUAUCAACACGCAAGCAGAAAUUGAUAGGAAUAGUAAUUCCGAAACAAAUAUUUUGAGAAAAAAUUUAGUAAGCUGAUGUAAAACUUGCCUCUCAAGGGUGUGUCGGAUGACCGACCGAGUAAGUGAAAUGUAUUUGGAACUUAUUUUUCUCUUCUGCAAAGUAAUUGAAUUCUGUCAAACUUUAGGGAAUGAUGGAAAUAGCAAUUACGCUUUUAUGGUCAUUGAGAAUAGUUAAGAAAAUUAACGAAAACGCUGUAAUAAAUAUACUUGCAGCUGAUUCUCAUUAACUUUGAAGCUAUAGCGUUUUAAUCUACAACCAAGAGCCAUUUUUUCAACUUUUCCAUGAAUUUCUCAAACUUUCCGUACUUGCUAAACAAGCGUGAUCAUACAUUCUAUAAUUUCCCAAAUGUUAAAUCGACGAGUUUAUCGCUCAGAAGAGAAAAACGUGUCAGCAAUUACGAUUUGCUCAAGUGGUCGGUAGAAUAUAAA
Molecule: unclassified non-coding RNA, 4762 nt
Filed under: Neodiprion pinetum (white pine sawfly)
Lineage: Eukaryota; Metazoa; Arthropoda; Insecta; Hymenoptera; Diprionidae
Description: juvenile hormone esterase-like, transcript variant X2
Source: RNAcentral